RNAcentral lists this ribosomal RNA (763 nucleotides) under uncultured bacterium. RNAcentral's name for it is "bacterial SSU rRNA". It matches the Rfam family "Bacterial small subunit ribosomal RNA", at positions 577 to 1338 of the family's 1533-position model. The record is from RNAcentral.
GGUUUGUCGCGUUGUUCGUGAAAUCUCACGGCUUAACUGUGAGCGUGCGGGCGAUACGGGCAGACUUGAGUACUGCAGGGGAGACUGGAAUUCCUGGUGUAGCGGUGGAAUGCGCAGAUAUCAGGAGGAACACCGGUGGCGAAGGCGGGUCUCUGGGCAGUAACUGACGCUGAGGAGCGAAAGCGUGGGGAGCGAACAGGAUUAGAUACCCUGGUAGUCCACGCCGUAAACGGUGGGUACUAGGUGUGGGUUUCCUUCCUUGGGAUCCGUGCCGUAGCUAACGCAUUAAGUACCCCGCCUGGGGAGUACGGCCGCAAGGCUAAAACUCAAAGAAAUUGACGGGGGCCCGCACAAGCGGCGGAGCAUGUGGAUUAAUUCGAUGCAACGCGAAGAACCUUACCUGGGUUUGACAUGCACAGGACGCCGGCAGAGAUGUCGGUUCCCUUGUGGCCUGUGUGCAGGUGGUGCAUGGCUGUCGUCAGCUCGUGUCGUGAGAUGUUGGGUUAAGUCCCGCAACGAGCGCAACCCUUGUCUCAUGUUGCCAGCGGGUAAUGCCGGGGACUCGUGAGAGACUGCCGGGGUCAACUCGGAGGAAGGUGGGGAUGACGUCAAGUCAUCAUGCCCCUUAUGUCCAGGGCUUCACACAUGCUACAAUGGCCGGUACAAAGGGCUGCGAUGCCGCGAGGUUAAGCGAAUCCUUUUAAAGCCGGUCUCAGUUCGGAUCGGGGUCUGCAACUCGACCCCGUGAAGUCGGAGUCGCUAG